AGUCACGAGUUUGAUCAUGGCUCAGGAUGAACGCUAGCGGCAGGCCUAACACAUGCAAGUCAGGGGGUAGAGUUCUUUCGGGGACUUGAGACCGGCGCACGGGUGCGUAACGCGUAUGCAAUCUACCUUAUACAGGGGAAUAGCCCAGAGAAAUUUGGAUUAAUGCCCCAUAGUGUUAUCGAAUCGCAUGGUUUGAUAACUAAAGUUCCAACGGUAUAAGAUGAGCAUGCGUCCCAUUAGUUAGUUGGUAAGGUAACGGCUUACCAAGACAAUGAUGGGUAGGGGUCCUGAGAGGGAGAUCCCCCACACUGGUACUGAGACACGGACCAGACUCCUACGGGAGGCAGCAGUGAGGAAUAUUGGUCAAUGGGCGCAAGCCUGAACCAGCCAUGCCGCGUGCAGGAAGACGGUCCUAUGGAUUGUAAACUGCUUUUAUACAGGAAGAAACCCUCCCACGUGUGGGAGCUUGACGGUACCGUAGGAAUAAGGAUCGGCUAACUCCGUG
RNAcentral lists this ribosomal RNA (505 nucleotides) under uncultured bacterium. RNAcentral describes it as "bacterial SSU rRNA". It matches the Rfam family "Bacterial small subunit ribosomal RNA", at positions 1 to 507 of the family's 1533-position model. The record is from RNAcentral.